GUAGAUAGUUGCUUAGUUCUACUAUUGUACUUUUGUUUUUGUUCUACAAGUUUAUAGUUGACGAGGAGAGGCUUGCUUAGUUGGUAGAGCACCUCCAUCUCCAACCAGCUAAGGCUAAAGUUCAAUUAAAGGGCGUUUCCACGUUGUAGGUAGUUGGUAAGUGGAAGCACUAUUAAUCAGACUUGUAGCCUGUAUUUCUGUCUUCCUUAGUGCCUUCAUUUUUGCUUAGUUGGUAGAGCACCUCCAUCUCCAACCAGCUAAGGCUAAAGUUCAAUUAAAGGGCGUUUCCACGUUGUAGGUAGUUGGUAAGUGGAAGCACUAUUAAUCAGACUUGUAGCCUGUAUUUCUGUCUUCCUUGGUGCCUUCAUUUUUUCUUCUCCAUGAUGUCUCACCAUUUGAGUGAAGCAGCUUUAAUAUUAUAGCUGUAUUAUUUAUGGUUAGCACAACUCUAUCUUCUGAAAUUGCAUCCGGCCCAACGGUUUGCGCUAUUAUUAUUCAAGAAAAGAAAACAGAUCAACUAUUAUAACGUAAUGGUUAUAGCCUAUAUGUAUAAUGCAUGUUUUGAUCUACAAAUAUGCAUCUUAGUUAACUAGUGAGCUUAAAGAGAAAAGAAUUUAUCCUUCUAAGGAAACCUAUAUGAUCUUUGAGCAUCUUAUUUCAAUAUUUUUUUCUUCGCAAGAAAGCAACUUGCUUGCUGCUUUUAUCACCUGAAUGAAGCACUGUUUUAUUCAUUUGUAAAUCUAAAGUUAACAAUUCUGCAAGACAAAAGGACACACAAAAUGUAAACCAAAAGAGCUGAAGACAAAAGAAGUUCGCACAUUAGAGGUCGGUCAAAUACAGUUUUGCUAAAAGUCAUCGCUUUGGUGCUUAAAGCAAUGAAGUGGUGCGAAGCGAGGAUCAUAGCUUCUUGAAUGAAGUCGUGCACUUCAAAGAAUGACGUGCAAAAGAAAAGGAAAAAAAAAAGGAGGUUCUCACUUGUAUUAGAGACAGUCAAAUAUAACUUUAUUCUUUUCGGCACUUAAAGAGAUGAAGCGAUGUGGCAAGUAGGAGCGGCAGACGGGCGGGUCGGGUUGAAUAUGGGGUCGAAAACGGGUAAUGCAAAAUGGAUAAAUUAUCCGACCCGACCCGUAUUUAAUAUGGAUUGAAAACGAGUUAACAGGUAGAUAAUAUGGAUAUCCAUAUUUUUCAUGGCUUUUUGAAUAUAAUCACUUUUGAUAGAAUUCCUAAUCUCCCAAACUAGGAACUCCCAAUUUGAGGCUUUACAAAUGUAAAAGUUAAACACAUUAGUUAUCCAUUUGUUAUCCAUUUUCUAAGUAGAUAAUAUGGUUGUUAUCCAUAUUUGACCCGUUUUUAAAAAAUUUAUUAUCCAACCUAUUUUUUAAUGGAUAAUACGGGUGACUAACUAUUUUCUUUUAACCAUUUUGUUACCACUAGUGGUAAGAGUUGUUAUAGAUUCAUGGGUGAAGCCAUGUGUUUUAGAGAAAUGUACACUUCAAACAAUGAACACCUUAAAUGAGACAAAUCAAAAAAUGUCUAUCGAUUCUUUUUUUCUUUUAGGGAUGGUUUCCUGUUCAUAUAUAUCACAAAAAUGAGUACAUGGAAGAGGACAUAAAACUUAGCUUCCAUUGUUAGACGAUGAAGUUUAAUACCUGCAUAUACCAAACUGGAGAAUGCUAAGGAGUGUACCGACAUAUACCAAGGUGGAGAACGCUGAGGAGUACAACUCCUUUACAUUUUGUACUCUAAUAUUCUUUACCAAAAAAAGCUGAUAGCUUAAUGUCACAAUCCAAAAUCACGUGACUGGUACUCAGCGUAUUAUCUCAUCCGAGUGAACCUACUCAUACAAGAAUACCCAUUUAUAUGCCUAGUAGAAGUAUAUGCAAAAGCCUUUUCAAAACACGGUCAUUCCAAAUGAUUGAAAUUAAUUGUAUAUGGAACAAAAUCAUUAAAUCGUCCAUUUUCAAUAAACGGAAAUACAAAAAGAUAAUAAUAUUUCUUUCAUGCAUUCGCUUACAACCCCAAAAAAAAUAAUAACAGUGAAUGGAAUCUCUAAAAUAUGAGAAUAACAUAAAUGCUUGGGAUAAUACCGCACUAACAGAAAAUGGGGACAACAUGACAACUACCAUGAAAUAUAAUUGGUGCAUCACUAUAUACCUUAGAAAGAGAGUCAUCAUGGUCAUGUCGGAUCAUCAUGUACCAUACUUUCAUGGACUCAACAAGUAUCAUGAACUCUCUAACUCAAGUUCCUGAGACAAGACUUUAUAAAAAUAAUGCAAUCAAUAUUUGAUA
Molecule: long non-coding RNA, 2289 nt
Filed under: Nicotiana tabacum (common tobacco)
Lineage: Eukaryota; Viridiplantae; Streptophyta; Magnoliopsida; Solanales; Solanaceae
Description: long non-coding RNA (NTAB_LNC000001)
Source: RNAcentral